AGCAAAUUGGUCCCAGUUUUCACCCUGCCGCAGGGCUGGCUGGGGAGGGCAGCGGUUUAGAUUAGCCGUGGCCUAGGCCGUUUGACGGGGUGACACGAGCCUGCAGGGCCGAGUCCAAGGCCCGGAGAUAGGACCAACCGUCAGGAAUGCGAGGAAUGUUUUUCUUCGGACUCUAUCGAGGCACACAGACAGACCAUGGGGAUUCUGUCUACAGUGACAGCCUUAACAUUUGCCAGAGCCCUGGACGGCUGCAGAAAUGGCAUUGCCCACCCUGCAAGUGAGAAGCACAGACUCGAGAAAUGUAGGGAACUCGAGAGCAGCCACUCGGCCCCAGGAUCAACCCAGCACCGAAGAAAAACAACCAGAAGAAAUUAUUCUUCAGCCUGAAAUGAAGCCGGGAUCAAAUGGUUGCUGAUCAGAGCCCAUAUUUAAAUUGGAAAAGUCAAAUUGAGCAUUAUUAAAUAAAGCUUGUUUAAUAUGUCUCAAACAGAAAA
RNAcentral lists this long non-coding RNA (494 nucleotides) under Homo sapiens (human). RNAcentral's name for it is "non-protein coding LINC01082:7". The record is from RNAcentral. Lineage: Eukaryota; Metazoa; Chordata; Mammalia; Primates; Hominidae.